GGUUAAGCGACUAAGCGUACACGGUGGAUGCCCUGGCAGUCAGAGGCGAUGAAGGACGUGCUAAUCUGCGAUAAGCGUCGGUAAGGUGAUAUGAACCGUUAUAACCGGCGAUUUCCGAAUGGGGAAACCCAGUGUGAUUCGUCACACUAUCAUUAACUGAAUCCAUAGGUUAAUGAGGCGAACCGGGGGAACUGAAACAUCUAAGUACCCCGAGGAAAAGAAAUCAACCGAGAUUCCCCCAGUAGCGGCGAGCGAACGGGGAGCAGCCCAGAGCCUGAAUCAGUGUGUGUGUUAGUGGAAGCGUCUGGAAAGGCGUGCGAUACAGGGUGACAGCCCCGUACACAAAAAUGCACAUACUGUGAGCUCGAUGAGUAGGGCGGGACACGUGGUAUCCUGUCUGAAUAUGGGGGGACCAUCCUCCAAGGCUAAAUACUCCUGACUGACCGAUAGUGAACCAGUACCGUGAGGGAAAGGCGAAAAGAACCCCGGCGAGGGGAGUGAAAAAGAACCUGAAACCGUGUACGUACAAGCAGUGGGAGCACGCUUAGGCGUGUGACUGCGUACCUUUUGUAUAAUGGGUCAGCGACUUAUAUUCUGUAGCAAGGUUAACCGAAUAGGGGAGCCGAAGGGAAACCGAGUCUUAACUGGGCGUUAAGUUGCAGGGUAUAGACCCGAAACCCGGUGAUCUAGCCAUGGGCAGGUUGAAGGUUGGGUAACACUAACUGGAGGACCGAACCGACUAAUGUUGAAAAAUUAGCGGAUGACUUGUGGCUGGGGGUGAAAGGCCAAUCAAACCGGGAGAUAGCUGGUUCUCCCCGAAAGCUAUUUAGGUAGCGCCUCGUGAAUUCAUCUCCGGGGGUAGAGCACUGUUUCGGCAAGGGGGUCAUCCCGACUUACCAACCCGAUGCAAACUGCGAAUACCGGAGAAUGUUAUUACGGGAGACACACGGCGGGUGCUAACGUCCGUCGUGAAGAGGGAAACAACCCAGACCGCCAGCUAAGGUCCCAAAGUCAUGGUUAAGUGGGAAACGAUGUGGGAAGGCCCAGACAGCCAGGAUGUUGGCUUAGAAGCAGCCAUCAUUUAAAGAAAGCGUAAUAGCUCACUGGUCGAGUCGGCCUGCGCGGAAGAUGUAACGGGGCUAAACCAUGCACCGAAGCUGCGGCAGCGACGCUUAUGCGUUGUUGGGUAGGGGAGCGUUCUGUAAGCCUGUGAAGGUGUGCUGUGAGGUAUGCUGGAGGUAUCAGAAGUGCGAAUGCUGACAUAAGUAACGAUAAAGCGGGUGAAAAGCCCGCUCGCCGGAAGACCAAGGGUUCCUGUCCAACGUUAAUCGGGGCAGGGUGAGUCGACCCCUAAGGCGAGGCCGAAAGGCGUAGUCGAUGGGAAACAGGUUAAUAUUCCUGUACUUGGUGUUACUGCGAAGGGGGGACGGAGAAGGCUAUGUUGGCCGGGCGACGGUUGUCCCGGUUUAAGCGUGUAGGCUGGUUUUCCAGGCAAAUCCGGAAAAUCAAGGCCGAGGCGUGAUGACGAGGCACUACGGUGCUGAAGCAACAAAUGCCCUGCUUCCAGGAAAAGCCUCUAAGCAUCAGGUAACAUCAAAUCGUACCCCAAACCGACACAGGUGGUCAGGUAGAGAAUACCAAGGCGCUUGAGAGAACUCGGGUGAAGGAACUAGGCAAAAUGGUGCCGUAACUUCGGGAGAAGGCACGCUGAUACGUAGGUGAAGCGACUUGCUCGUGGAGCUGAAAUCAGUCGAAGAUACCAGCUGGCUGCAACUGUUUAUUAAAAACACAGCACUGUGCAAACACGAAAGUGGACGUAUACGGUGUGACGCCUGCCCGGUGCCGGAAGGUUAAUUGAUGGGGUUAGCGCAAGCGAAGCUCUUGAUCGAAGCCCCGGUAAACGGCGGCCGUAACUAUAACGGUCCUAAGGUAGCGAAAUUCCUUGUCGGGUAAGUUCCGACCUGCACGAAUGGCGUAAUGAUGGCCAGGCUGUCUCCACCCGAGACUCAGUGAAAUUGAACUCGCUGUGAAGAUGCAGUGUACCCGCGGCAAGACGGAAAGACCCCGUGAACCUUUACUAUAGCUUGACACUGAACAUUGAGCCUUGAUGUGUAGGAUAGGUGGGAGGCUUUGAAGUGUGGACGCCAGUCUGCAUGGAGCCGACCUUGAAAUACCACCCUUUAAUGUUUGAUGUUCUAACGUGGACCCGUGAUCCGGGUUGCGGACAGUGUCUGGUGGGUAGUUUGACUGGGGCGGUCUCCUCCUAAAGAGUAACGGAGGAGCACGAAGGUUGGCUAAUCCUGGUCGGACAUCAGGAGGUUAGUGCAAUGGCAUAAGCCAGCUUGACUGCGAGCGUGACGGCGCGAGCAGGUGCGAAAGCAGGUCAUAGUGAUCCGGUGGUUCUGAAUGGAAGGGCCAUCGCUCAACGGAUAAAAGGUACUCCGGGGAUAACAGGCUGAUACCGCCCAAGAGUUCAUAUCGACGGCGGUGUUUGGCACCUCGAUGUCGGCUCAUCACAUCCUGGGGCUGAAGUAGGUCCCAAGGGUAUGGCUGUUCGCCAUUUAAAGUGGUACGCGAGCUGGGUUUAGAACGUCGUGAGACAGUUCGGUCCCUAUCUGCCGUGGGCGCUGGAGAACUGAGGGGGGCUGCUCCUAGUACGAGAGGACCGGAGUGGACGCAUCACUGGUGUUCGGGUU
RNAcentral lists this ribosomal RNA (2696 nucleotides) under Shigella flexneri. Its description in RNAcentral is "partial 23S ribosomal RNA". It matches the Rfam family "Bacterial large subunit ribosomal RNA". The record is from RNAcentral. Lineage: Bacteria; Pseudomonadati; Pseudomonadota; Gammaproteobacteria; Enterobacterales; Enterobacteriaceae.